UUGGAGGGCAAGUCUGGUGCCAGCAGCCGCGGUAAUUCCAGCUCCAAUAGCGUAUAUUAAAGUUGUUGCAGUUAAAAAGCUCGUAGUUGAAUUUCGGGGUCAAUAAGUUGGUCGUGCCAAUGGUAUGCACUGGCUUUAUUGAUUCCUACCUCUUGACGAACUGUGAUGCCAUUAAUUUGGUGUCGCAAGGAAUCAGGACUGUUACCUUGAAAAAUUGAGUGUUUAAAGCAGGCUUACGCUUGAAUACAUUAGCAUGGAAUAAUGAAAUAGGACGUUUGAACCUAUUUUGUUGGUUUCUAGGAUCGACGUAAUGAUUAAUAGGGAUAGUUGGGGGCAUUAGUAUUCAAUUGUCAGAGGUGAAAUUCUUGGAUUUAUUGAAGACUAACUACUGCGAAAGCAUUUGCCAAGGAUGUUUUCAUUAAUCAAGAACGAAAGUUAGGGGAUCGAAGACGAUCAGAUACCGUCGUAGUCUUAACCAUAAACUAUGCCGACUAGGGAUCGGAUGAUGUUAAUUUUAAUGACUCAUUCGGCGCC
This 534-nucleotide ribosomal RNA is filed under the name uncultured Glomeraceae. RNAcentral describes it as "SSU rRNA". It matches the Rfam family "Eukaryotic small subunit ribosomal RNA", at positions 548 to 1087 of the family's 1831-position model. Lineage: Eukaryota; Fungi; Glomeromycota; Glomeromycetes; Glomerales; Glomeraceae. The record is from RNAcentral.